This is an RNA transcript of Macaca mulatta (Rhesus monkey), 536 nucleotides long. RefSeq lists it as uncharacterized. Lineage: Eukaryota; Metazoa; Chordata; Mammalia; Primates; Cercopithecidae. The record is from RefSeq and is a predicted model, not a curated record.
CAAGCUUGCAGACAGCCUACCAUGGGACCUUGUGAUUGUCCUGCACCAAUGGCCUCAUGGGCAGUUUCCUAUGACCAGUUGACAGAGGAAGAGAAGACUAGGGCCUGGUUCACAGAUGGUUCUGCACGAUAUGCAGGCACCACCUGAAAGUGGACAGCUGUGGCACUACAGCCCCUUUCUAGGAUAUACCUGAAGGACACCAGUGAAGGGAGAUCUUCCCAGUGGGCAGAAAUUCGAGCAGUGCACCUGGUUGUCCACUUUGCAUGGAAGAAGAAAUGGCCAGAUAUGCGGUUAUAUACUGAUUCAUGGGCUGUAGCCAGUGGUUUCGCUGGAUGGUCAGAGACUUGGAAGAAGCAUGAUUGGAAAACUGGUGACAAAGAAUUUUGGGGAAGAGAUAUGUGGAUGGACCUCUCUGAGUAGUCAAAAACUGUGAAGAUAUUUGUAUCCCAUGUGAGUGUUCACCAACAGAUGACCUCAGCAGACGAGGAUUUUAAUAAUCAAGCGGAUACGAUAACCCGUUUUGUGGACACCACUCA